Molecule: ribosomal RNA, 168 nt
Filed under: Trachidermus fasciatus (roughskin sculpin)
Lineage: Eukaryota; Metazoa; Chordata; Actinopteri; Perciformes; Cottidae
Description: partial 12S rRNA
Source: RNAcentral
CACCGCGGUUAUACGAGAGACUCAAGCUGACAAACACCGGCGUAAAGCGUGGUUAAGCUAAAAAUUUGCUAAAGUCAAACACCUUCAAGACUGUUAUACGUACCCGAAGGCAGGAAGCACAACCACGAAAGUGACUUUAACUAAGCUGAAUCCACGAAAGCUAAGGAA